RNAcentral lists this ribosomal RNA (293 nucleotides) under uncultured eukaryote. RNAcentral's name for it is "partial 18S ribosomal RNA". It matches the Rfam family "Eukaryotic small subunit ribosomal RNA", at positions 6 to 305 of the family's 1831-position model. The record is from RNAcentral.
GGUUGAUCCUGCCAGUAGCAUAUGCUUGUCUCAAAGAUUAAGCCAUGCAUGUCUAAGUAUAAACAUUUAUACAGUGAAACUGCGAAUGGCUCAUUAUAUCAGUUAUAAUUUAUUUGAUAGUACCUUACUACAUGGAUAACCGUGGUAAUUCUAGAGCUAAUACAUGCAAUAAAGCCCGACUUUUGAAGGGCUGUAUUUAUUAGGUAAAAACCAAUGCCACCAGUGGCUUUUUGGUGAUUCAUAAUAACUUAUCAGAUCGCAUGACCUUGCGUCGGCGACGUAUCAUUCAAAUU